Molecule: transfer RNA, 70 nt
Filed under: Pachydactylus kochii
Lineage: Eukaryota; Metazoa; Chordata; Lepidosauria; Squamata; Gekkonidae
Description: tRNA-Trp
Source: RNAcentral
AAGCUUAGGCUAACAUUAUAAACCGGAGGCCUUCAAAGCCACAAAUAGGGGAAAAUUCCCCUAGCUUCUG